RNAcentral lists this ribosomal RNA (253 nucleotides) under uncultured bacterium. Its description in RNAcentral is "partial 16S ribosomal RNA". It matches the Rfam family "Bacterial small subunit ribosomal RNA", at positions 524 to 776 of the family's 1533-position model. The record is from RNAcentral.
UACAGAGGUCCCAAGCGUUGUUCGGAUUUACUGGGCGUAAAGGGUGCGUAGGCCGUUGGGUAAGUCAUCCGCGAAAGCUUCAAGCUCAACUUGAAAACUGCAGAUGAUACUGCCUGACUAGAGGAUUGAAUGGGGGGUUGGAAUUCAUGGAGUAGCAGUGAAAUGCGUAGAGAUCAUGAGGAACACCAAAGGCGAAGGCAGACCCCUGGGAAAUUCCUGACGCUGAUGCACGAAGGCCAAGGUAGCGAACGGG